CACCUUGGAUACUACCGCAUGGACCAGGUUUGUGGAAAAGCUAUGAGCAUUUGAAGAUAAAGAUCCUUAGGAGAAGGAAAAGGGUGAAUGGACAAAAGACAUGAUGAACUGGCCUAAAGUCAUCUACCCUAACAUUGUAAAAUACCUUGUUUACAACAAGGUACGAUGUCACCAGGACAUUGCAAGUGUAUGGCAGUGAAGACUCGGCCGGAGGCGGAGUGUUGGUGGCCAUAAAAAUUUUGUGUACAGAUGAACUGCCAAUGGGGGUUUGACUUAGACCUACUUGUAGGACAUAGUUUAUUGUUGCUGCUUUCCUUCCCCUGGAAUUGGAUUGCACUUCCACAUAGAGGUUGUGCAUUUCUGAAAUGUAAGGGCACCUGCUGCAUUUCAGCUGUAGUCGAGUACCCAGGCCAUGCCUCUCCUCAGAGUCCAUGUCCCAGGUCAGGUUGCCAUCACAUCCUGGAUUGGUCUUCCCAUGUUUUUUGAAGGCUGUAUUGAACAUCCCACUUGUCUUUUGAAGAUGGAGCAGUCUUUGGGAGUCUGUAUCACACCUGCCGAAACCAGUUUUAUAUCUGAUCACUUCCUAUCCAGAGGUCUUGGCUGCAGCAACCGGUGGCACCCAUGUCACAGCAUCAUUUCCUGUUCCUCACACACAGAGGGUGGAUGCCUCACCAGUUCCAGGUUUCCCGGUCUACUCUUGUGAAUGGUGCAGGAAGAACACCAGAAUUGCCUAGGUAGAGGGGGCCGCCAUUUUGGACACCCAAAGUUGUGCGGAGAAGAAAAGCUGACAGGAGUCCUGAUUGGUCAUUAACAAAAAAUCUUUGUGGUGGAAUUCGACAGUGAAAUAUAAGUGAUAAAAAUUAUAUGUGACUUAACAGAAUGUGUAAAAAAAGAUAUAGGACUUAUAAAGGAAGACUUGAGAUGAGGGGUGAUAUUUUGCUGGACAAUUUCAUUCAGUGCGAAUCUAUACCAGUUGUAAACAGGCCAAAAUUUAAAGGAUAAACGCAAUGGCAUGAUAUAUUUUUCAUGGUGGAAUUUCGAAGAAGAGGUGUUGAACUUUGCU
Molecule: long non-coding RNA, 1063 nt
Organism: Saccostrea echinata
Lineage: Eukaryota; Metazoa; Mollusca; Bivalvia; Ostreida; Ostreidae
Exons: 4
Source: RefSeq, a predicted model, not a curated record